Long non-coding RNA from Rattus norvegicus (Norway rat), 1342 nucleotides. RefSeq lists it as uncharacterized. NCBI's taxonomy places the organism in Eukaryota, Metazoa, Chordata, Mammalia, Rodentia, Muridae. The record is from RefSeq and is a predicted model, not a curated record.
GUCCUGCCAGCUCUGGCCUGGAACGCCCUGGUGUCACGCCGCUGCAUAUACUCAGUGGGCAGCAUCUCGCAGCACAGGACGAGGGAAAGUGCAACUUGGAGUGGGACAAACGACUUUGCAAAGGACGGGAACAAGUUGGUGACCAUACUGAGAGCAGGAGAGUGACAACGUCUUCAACACAAAGAAAGAACCAGCACCACCUGUGGAUUCAAGGCCACUGAACAGCUGAGGAGAAGCGAAGAGCUUGAGGAACUGGAAAAGACACCUGCAUUUUUAAGAAUCGGUGCGAAACAGUCUUACAACUGAGCAGGCCUUUGUACUCAACUAAAACCCAAAACUGGAACCCUGCCUCGCAUAUAAAGUGAUGUCACCCUGAAAUUCAAGGCCCUGUUGGAUGCUCAAGGGACACACCUGUGCAUUCAGAGCUUGAAGGUCUGCUCCACCAACUUCAAGGCCCUUACAGCAUAGGCCUGGCGCCUUUCACUGCAAGGUUCCAGUGCACAGAAAUUAUAUGAGCCAGGUGAUAACCCCAAGCAGGUGAGCAUAGGAACCUGCAGAUUGCACACUGUACACUCCGGCUACUUUCUAGAUAGUAAUCCCUUUUACUAGGGGCUCUGUGGAGAUGGAGACACAGUUUGCAUGUAGCCAAUCAGGUCUCAUCCAUCUCGGAAGGACUACAAUAGCUCAUCACAGUGCAGACCACAGCAUGAAAGCCAGCAGUGAUGGUAAGCAGUUCAGCCAUGAAGAGCUAACGGCCUGCAGUCACUAACCAGUCUCAGGUUGACUAAAGCUGAUUCUGUCCCAGGGAAUGGUACAGCUCAUGUGCAUUUGUCCAAAAACAAGCAAACAAACAAAAACAAAACAAAACAAAACCCAACCAAAACCAAAAAACAAAACAGUGGAACGCAAGAUUGAACUGGAAUCUAUUCUUUGCCCUUUAGUUUAUGACAUACAAAUACUAGCUCAUUAUUACUGCACAUCUAUUAAGACGAGAUGCUAAUGACUGGGAGGAAGGAGUAGACACUGGAGAUGUCUCUAUUUUCUGCUCAUUUUUGGUAAACCUUUUAAAACCCAAGAAAAAUUAAGAACAAGGUAAGGAUGACUAUUUGUCUAUCAGGGUUCUUGCAAGAAUCCCGUAGGACAUCGAGGAGGCUGUCACUGCCUUCCAGGACCCAAAUCCUCCUGUAGGAUCACUGAAGCAGUCAUCUCCUCAUUCUCAUCCCCCUGACCCAUUGCCUAGGCUAGGGUGGGGACAGGGUGGUUUUCAGAGCUGUCACUGGGAUGCACUCUGCUGGCUUCUGGAGUUUUGUGCUGGAGAGAUCCUCAUAAACUCCUGACACCC